UACGGGGGGGGCAAGCGUUGUUCGGAAUUACUGGGCGUAAAGGGCUCGUAGGCGGCCAACUAAGUCAGACGUGAAAUCCCUCGGCUUAACCGGGGAACUGCAUCUGAUACUGGAUGGCUUGAGAUUGGGAGAGGGAUGCGGAAUUCCAGGUGUAGCGGUGAAAUCCGUAGAUAUCAGGAAGAACACCGGUGGCGAAGGCGGCUGCCUGGACCGAUACUGACGCUGAGACGCGAAAGCGUGGGGAGCAAACAGG
RNAcentral lists this ribosomal RNA (253 nucleotides) under uncultured bacterium. RNAcentral's name for it is "partial 16S ribosomal RNA". It matches the Rfam family "Bacterial small subunit ribosomal RNA", at positions 524 to 776 of the family's 1533-position model. The record is from RNAcentral.